UGGGGAAUAUUGCGCAAUGGGCGAAAGCCUGACGCAGCGACGCCGCGUGGGUGAAGAAGGCCUUCGGGUUGUAAAGCCCUGUCAAAGAGAAAGAAUUCUUUCGAAAAUAAUAAGUUCGGAAGUUGACGGUACUCUUGGAGGAAGCACCGGCUAACCACGUGCCAGCAGCCGCGGUAAUACGUGGGGUGCAAGCGUUGUUCGGAAUUACUGGGCGUAAAGCGCAUGUAGGCGGUCAGGUGUGUCAGGUGUGAAAUCCCUUGGCUUAACCAAGGAACUGCGCCUGAAACUGCUUGGCUAGAGUUUGGGAGAGGAGGGUGGAAUUUCCAGUGUAGAGGUGAAAUUCGUAGAUAUUGGAAGGAACACCGGUAGCGAAGGCGACUCUCUGGACCAAAACUGACGCUGAGAUGCGAAAGCAUGGGUAGCAAACAGG
Molecule: ribosomal RNA, 430 nt
Filed under: uncultured bacterium
Lineage: Bacteria
Description: bacterial SSU rRNA
Rfam family: Bacterial small subunit ribosomal RNA
Source: RNAcentral